UUAAACAGCAACAAAAUCUUUUCAUUUUAGCAACUCCAAUCCAAUCUACUCCAACUAGGGAGCUGUCUUUUACUACUGGAUCAAUCAAAGCUUAACAAGUUGCUAAUCCAAUUUACUUAUGGGGCACCUGCCAUUGGAUAUAUCUAUUAUUAUGUUUUAUCUGUUCUAGCUAGGUGUGUUACCUAGAAUAUGAUAACAUAUUGGUCAAAACUUGUUGGAUUCACAAGGUCAUAGGUUUUAUUAAAGAACA
Molecule: long non-coding RNA, 250 nt
Filed under: Elaeis guineensis (African oil palm)
Lineage: Eukaryota; Viridiplantae; Streptophyta; Magnoliopsida; Arecales; Arecaceae
Description: long non-coding RNA (EGUI_LNC038228)
Source: RNAcentral